Molecule: long non-coding RNA, 2635 nt
Filed under: Cricetulus griseus (Chinese hamster)
Lineage: Eukaryota; Metazoa; Chordata; Mammalia; Rodentia; Cricetidae
Description: lncRNA (ENSCGRG00015042876.1)
Source: RNAcentral
CCCCGGCCGGAGGCCCACCCUCCCCCGCGUGCUCGCCCGGCGGCUCGGCGGCGGCUCGGCGGCGGCUCGGCCGGGUUCCAGACCCCGGAGGGCUCGGCGGCGUCCUCCCGGGCUCGACAUUGAGCUGCUGGCGAGCGAAGCGGGCGUGGGGCAGCUGCACGCCCGAGCCUCACGGGCGAAGAGGACGAACGCCAGCCGUCGGGAGGCUCUAGUGCGAGCGGGAGGGUGAUCCGGUGCGAGCGGGAGGGUGAUCCGGUGCGAGCGGGAGGGUGAUCCGGUGCGAGCGGGAGGGUGAUCCGGUGUGAGGGUGAUCCGGUGCGAGCGGGAGGGUGAUCCAGUGUGAGCGUGAGGGUGAUCCAGUGCGAGCGGGAGGGUGACCUAGUGCGAGCGGCAUGAGGGUGAUCCGGUGCUAGGAGCGUGAGGGUGACCUAGUGCGAGCGGGAGGGUGAUCUAGUGCGAGCGUGAGGGUGAUCCAGUGUGAGGAGCGUGAGGGUGAUCCAGUGCGAGCGGGAGGGUGACCUGGUGCAAGCGGGAGGGUGACCUAGUGCGAGCGGGAGGCGUGAGGGUGACCUAGUGCGAGCGGCAUGAGGGUGAUCCGGUGCGAGUGUGAGGGUGAUCCGGUGCUAGGAGCGUGAGGGUGACCUAGUGCGAGCGGGAGGGUGAUCUAGUGCGAGCGUGAGGGUGAUCCAGUGUGAGGAGCGUGAGGGUGAUCCAGUGCGAGCGGGAGGGUGAUCCAGUGCGAGCGGGAGGGUGAUCCAGUGCGAGCUGGAGGGUGAUCCGGUGCGAGGAGCGGGAGGGUGAUCCAGUGUGAGGAGCGUGAGGGAGAUCUAGUGCGAGCGGGAGGGAGAUCUAGUGUGAGGAGCGUGAGGGAGAUCUAGUGCGAGGAGCGUGAGGGAGAUCCGGUGCGAGGAGCGUGAGGGAGAUCCGGUGCGAGGAGCGGGAGGGUGAUCCAGUGUGAGGAGCGUGAGGGAGAUCUAGUGCGAGCGUGAGGGAGAUCCAGUGUGAGGAGCGUGAGGGAGAUCUAGUGCGAGGAGCGUGAGGGAGAUCCGGUGCGAGGAGCGGGAGGGUGAUCCAGUGUGAGGAGCGUGAGGGAGAUCUAGUGUGAGGAGCGUGAGGGUGAUCCAGUGUGAGGAGCGUGAGGGAGAUCCGGUGCGAGGAGCGGGAGGGUGAUCCAGUGUGAGGAGCGUGAGGGAGAUCUAGUGCGAGCGUGAGGGAGAUCCAGUGUGAGGAGCGUGAGGGAGAUCCAGUGUGAGGAGCGUGAGGGAGAUCCGGUGCGAGGAGCGGGAGGGUGAUCCAGUGUGAGGAGCGUGAGGGAGAUCUAGUGCGAGCGUGAGGGAGAUCCAGUGUGAGGAGCGUGAGGGAGAUCUAGUGCGAGGAGCGUGAGGGAGAUCCGGUGCGAGGAGCGGGAGGGUGAUCCAGUGUGAGGAGCGUGAGGGAGAUCCGGUGCGAGGAGCGUGAGGGUGAUCCGGUGUGAGGAGCGUGAGGGAGAUCCGGUGCGAGGAGCGUGAGGGAGAUCCAGUGCGAGCGGGAGGGAGAUCCAGUGCGAGCGGGAGGGUGAUCUAGUGCAAGCGUGAGGGUGAUCUAGUGCCGUGUGCGGUCCAGGGUGGCAGGGGAAAGGGGAUGAGGGUGAGACAAAGACAGAGACAGACAGACAGAGAGAGACAGAGAGGAGAGAUAGUGGAGAAAGACACAGAGAGGGAGGGAGGGAGAGAGAGAGAGACAGAGACAGAGAGAGAGAGAGACAGAGAGAGAGUAAGAGUAGGAAUUUUUAAGACAACCCCUGGAGGAGGAGCACGACGUGACAGCACACAGCGAAAAGAACAGGCGAAAGGGCCUGAGGUGUCUGUAGCUCGGGUCCUCCACUGCUCUCCUUGUGCGAGCACAAUUCAAAGCCCCAGGCUUUGCCGAGAAGGGUUGAGACAUAAGGAACUAAUGCUCUACGCUGCUAGUGAGUGGCCGUCAGCGUCGCCUUCAAUCCCAGCGCUCGGAAGACAAGAGCAGUCCAUCUCUAGGAAGACAAGAGCAGUCCAUCUCUAGGAAGACAGACAAGAGCAGUCCAUCUCUAGGAAGACAAGAGCAGUCCAUCUCUAGGAAGACAAGAGCAGUCCAUCUCUAGGAAGACAAGAAGUCCAUCUCUAGGAAGACAGACAAGAGCAGUCCAUCUCUAGGAAUUUGAGCCCCGCCAGGGCUACGAAGUCAGACACUGUCUCAAAAAAGAAAGAGGCGUUUUACAAAUGUUUCAUCCUCAACAAGCCAGAGGAGAGGGGCUUUAUCUGAGGACGUUGCAGAACCCCAGUUUUAAGCAGGGGGCAUUUUGGCCACACUUGGGGAGCUCUCGGGAUUGCCCUAGCUGCAGUCUGGAGGUCUGGAGAGGGGAGGCAAGAGUGGGUGAGUGGGACUAAGGGUCACUUCAGCAAAAGAGAGAGAGGCCUUGGGUUCGUCCUCAGCAUUUGGGAAGAACGGGUGGAGAUCUUGGGUGUGGUCUUUGAAAGCAGCCAGACCUUUCAGGACUGCGGUGUGUUUGGCCCAAAGACCUCGGAUGCUGGACACCCAGCGAUCACCAAAGAUCCACGUGGGAUAGUGGCUAUCAAUUUGGCUCUCUCGCACUAAUAAAGAUUAAAGACACUUGUGGGAG